Long non-coding RNA from Oncorhynchus tshawytscha (Chinook salmon), 1255 nucleotides. NCBI's taxonomy places the organism in Eukaryota, Metazoa, Chordata, Actinopteri, Salmoniformes, Salmonidae. The record is from Ensembl.
AAUCUCCAAGCUGCACGCAUUGAUCCAUGUGAUUGAGGGGAGAGAGGAGACUUCCACGAACGAUAUAUCAUCGAAGAGAUAUGUGAAAAACACCUUGAGGAUUGAUUCUAAACAACGUUUACCAUGUUUCAGUCGAUAUUAUGGAGUUAAUUUGGAAAAAAGUUCGGCGUUUUGAUGACUGAAUUUUGGGGGUUUUUUGGUAGCCAAACGUGACGCACCAAACGGAGCGAUUUCUCCUAAACAAAUAAUCUUUCAGGAAAAACUGAGCAUUUGCUAUCUAACUGAGAGUCUCCUCAUUGAAAACAUCCGAAGUUCUUCAAAAGCCCCAAUCGGAGGUCCUGAGCCCGCUGGAGCAGGUUUUUCAUCAAGUCUCCCAGUCCCUGCCACUGAAAAACAUCCCCACACCAUGAUGCUGCCACCACCAUGGAUCACCAUAGGGAUGGUGCCAGGUGUCCUUCAGACCUGACGCUUGGUAUUUAGGCCAAAGAGUUCAAUAUUGGAGAAUCAUGUUUCUCAUGUUCUGAGAGUCCUUUAGGUGCCUGUUGGCUUAUUUCAAGCGGGCUGUCAUGUGCCUUUUACUGAGGAGUGGCUUCCGUCUGGCCACUCUACCAUAAAGGCCUGAUUGGUGGAGUGCUGUAGAGAUGGUUGUCCUUCUGGAAGUGACAAUCGGGUUCUUGGUCACCUCCCUGACCAAGGUCCUUCUCCCCCGAUUGCUCAGUUUGGCCAGGCGGCCAGCUCUAGGAAGAGUCUUGGUGGUUCCAAACUUGGAAUCAUAGAGGCCACUGUGUAAUUGGGGACCUUCAAUGCAGCAGAAUGUUUUUGGGGCUCGACACAAUCCUUUCUCGGAGCUCUACAGACAAUCCCUUCAUCGUCAUGGCUUGGUUUUUGAUCUAACAUGCACUGUCAACUGUGGGACCUUAUAUAAACAGGUGUGUGACUUUCCAAAUCAUGUCCAGUCAAUUGAAUUUACCACAGAUGGACUCCAAUGAAGUUGUAGAAAGUUGUAAAAAACCUGUUUUCACUUUGUCAUUAUGGGUUAUUGUGUGUGAUUGCUGAGGAAUUCUUGUAUUUAAUCCAUUUUAGAGUAAGGCUAUAACGUAACAAAAUGUGGAAAAAGUCAAGGGGUCUGAAUUCUUUCUGAAAGCACUGUACUGCUAAAUUCCGUUGAAUGAUUGAAUUAUUCAAUGUUAUGCAACACAAAGAUUAAAAUAAAAAAAUUAAAAUCUAAACUAAUCCAAUAAUUGUAUUUUUGCAC